CCAUGCCCAUAUAUUUUAAGCACCUAGCAACUAGGGAAGUGCAGUUUGAUUCAUGCAUGAAUUGAUUUGUAACACAUCAGUGAUGAUUCACAGAUGCAACUGCAAAUUGAAUUGCUCCUUAAUUGAAGGUGCUGAUUAGAGGUCAAAUUGAAUCAGCCAUGAUUUGCUGCAGAUCAAUACAUUUUAAUGUGAUUGGCCAUCUUGGUGGGCUUUCCCCCCUUGCUGAUUGGUUUCCUGGCAAUGGCUUCCAAUUGGCUUGAUAUCUCCUUGCUUCAACAACCUUGCUGGCUUGUUGUCAUUCAAAUCAAGUGCUGGCAUGGGCAACUGUGCUCUCAUUGGCUGGGAGGAGGGAGCAGGGCGGGUUAACACUUUUGGAGGGAAUUUCGAAAUGUAUUCAAAGUGACUAGGAGGAAGAGAGAGAGAGACCUUUUGAAGAAGAGGAUAUAUGCUGACAGGAGGAAGGAAAAACAACAGCAAGCAUACAGUGUAGACAUAAGCUCUACCUCAGCAUCUUCUUUAGCCACUUUUUGACUGGUUAACCCAAGAAGUCAGUGAUGAGGAAUUCUGCAAAUUCUUAGGAGGCUUCUGUUUCGUGUUAGGACUUGGUGAUUGUGAAUCUCCUGGGUUCAUUUAUGGAAGCUGUGAUUCUUGGCGUCUUUGCUGUGUAUAUCCAGCACCGUCAAGCUGAUGGAGCCCCAGAAUCCUUCUGAAUUGGAAGAUUGUUCUUGGUCUUCAACAAACACCUGAUCCUCCUUCAGUGCUAGCUGUGUGCUCCAUUUGCUCCUGCUCUAAAAAUCUAUUCUUCAAAAAAGAACCUCUUUGCGCUUUUUGUUGAUUCUCCCUCAACU
Long non-coding RNA from Hemicordylus capensis (graceful crag lizard), 848 nucleotides. RefSeq lists it as uncharacterized. The record is from RefSeq and is a predicted model, not a curated record. Lineage: Eukaryota; Metazoa; Chordata; Lepidosauria; Squamata; Cordylidae. The transcript has 3 exons.